This 488-nucleotide ribosomal RNA is filed under the name uncultured bacterium. Its description in RNAcentral is "partial 16S ribosomal RNA". It matches the Rfam family "Bacterial small subunit ribosomal RNA", at positions 28 to 507 of the family's 1533-position model. The record is from RNAcentral.
GACGAACGCUGGCGGCGUGCUUAACACAUGCAAGUCGAACGGAAAGACGCUGCUUUUGUGGGGUUCUCGAGUGGCGAACGGGUGAGUAACACGUGAGUAACCUGCCCUUGACUUUGGGAUAACUUCAGGAAACUGGGGCUAAUACCGGAUAGGAGCUCCUGCUGCAUGGUGGGGGUUGGAGAGUUUCGGCGGUUGGGGAUGGACUCGCGGGGUAUGCGCUUGUUGGUGGGGUAGUGGCCUACCAAGGCGUUGAUGGGUAGACGACCGGAGAGGGUGAACAGCGGCAUUAGAGGGUGAACGGGCACCAGGGUCCUGCGAGAGGGCGCAGUAGGGAACGGGAGGCAGUAGGCGGGAACCUGGCCCAACGGGGCGAAGUGUGAGGCAGAAGCCUUGGGUGCGUGAAGCCGUCUUUUGGGGUGAAAACCGCUUUCGCCUGUGACGAAGCGGGAGUGACGGUACCGGGUAAAGAAGCACCGGCUAACUACGUG